Long non-coding RNA from Poecilia latipinna (sailfin molly), 277 nucleotides. RefSeq lists it as uncharacterized. The transcript is spliced from 3 exons. The record is from RefSeq and is a predicted model, not a curated record. NCBI's taxonomy places the organism in Eukaryota, Metazoa, Chordata, Actinopteri, Cyprinodontiformes, Poeciliidae.
ACUCUGCUGGUUUUUAUUCAGUCCAUAGUUGGGUUCUGGUCUCCAGUCCCUUUGAGGUCUCCUGCUCUGUUGGGCUCUUCAAUGAAGAACCAAAAGAGACCAGAAUGCGUCUGGAAAAUCCUUCAUCAUUAGAAGAUGAGACAAAAAUGCCCUGCACUGGAUGGGUGGCCUUUGGGAUACCUCUGGCAGUUGUAUCAGUUGCAUUUGGAGUCCUGUGCUUCCUGUAUUUCAGGAAGAAAGCUAACAAGUCCAAAUCUGGAGAUGAUACAACUGGUGG